AGUGAACGCUGGCGGUAGGCCUAACGCAUGCAAGUCGAACGGCAGCACAGUAAGAGCUUGCUCUUACGGGUGGCGAGUGGCGGACGGGUGAGGAAUACAUCGGAAUCUACUUUUUCGUGGGGGAUAACGUAGGGAAACUUACGCUAAUACCGCAUACGACCUACGGGUGAAAGCAGGGGAUCUUCGGACCUUGCGCGAUUGAAUGAGCCGAUGUCGGAUUAGCUGGUUGGCGGGGUAAAGGCCCACCAAGGCGACGAUCCGUAGCUGGUCUGAGAGGAUGAUCAGCCACACUGGAACUGAGACACGGUCCAGACUCCUACGGGAGGCAGCAGUGGGGAAUAUUGGACAAUGGGCGCAAGCCUGAUCCAGCCAUACCGCGUGGGUGAAGAAGGCCUUCGGGUUGUAAAGCCCUUUUGUUGGGAAAGAAAAGCAGCAGGUUAAUACCCCGCUGUUCUGACGGUACCCAAAGAAUAAGCACCGGCUAACUUCGUG
RNAcentral lists this ribosomal RNA (492 nucleotides) under uncultured bacterium. RNAcentral's name for it is "partial 16S ribosomal RNA". It matches the Rfam family "Bacterial small subunit ribosomal RNA", at positions 29 to 507 of the family's 1533-position model. The record is from RNAcentral.